CAACUUUCAACAACGGGUCUCUUGGUUCUGGCAUCGAUGAAGAACGCAGCGAAAUGCGAUAAGUAGUGUGAAUUGCAGAAUUCAGUGAAUCAUCGAAUCUUUGAACGCACAUUGCGCCCCUUGGUAUUCCAUGGGGCAUGCCUGUUCGAGCGUCAUUUGUACC
This 163-nucleotide ribosomal RNA is filed under the name uncultured fungus. RNAcentral describes it as "5.8S ribosomal RNA". It matches the Rfam family "5.8S ribosomal RNA". Rfam says of the family: 5.8S ribosomal RNA (5.8S rRNA) is a component of the large subunit of the eukaryotic ribosome. It is transcribed by RNA polymerase I as part of the 45S precursor that also contains 18S and 28S rRNA. Functionally, it is thought that 5.8S rRNA may be involved in ribosome translocation. The record is from RNAcentral. Lineage: Eukaryota; Fungi.